GGAAUAUUAAACUUAUUAAAGAUAUUUUUGGUAAUCAUGGAAAUAAUGAAAACAAUCUUAUAUGUUCAAGUCUGUAGUAUUAGAUAAAGAAACUGUAAAUUGGUGAUAGAUAAAAAGUACUGAAAAGGAAGGUUGAAAUAGAUGAAAACGCAAUUAGUAGAAAGUACACGUUAAAAGUGGUACCUUGUGUAUCAGGGAUUUUAAAUAUUAAUUCUGUUAUUAGAAUCUCCCGAAAUUUAGUGAGCUAAUCAGUUAAAAUAGUUAACGUAGAAUAGUUAUUAAUAAUAACUUAUUAGAAAUGAAAUUUUAUACGCACUAAUAAGUAUCUGGUUUGUCAACAAACGAAUUUAAUUCGGCUCUUAGAUAUGAAAUGAAACUAAGACGUAAGAGCAGGAGGGAAAAGCUUCUUGUUCAAUAACAGGUGUGCUAUGAUUAAUAGGAAUUAGAUUAUUUAAUUAGGCUUAAAAUCAGUCAUAUUCGAAAAUCGUUAUAGAUUAUAUAAGUGAAGCUAAUAUUUAAGUUCAAUCUAGCAUAAUUAUUGACAAAUUAAGGUUAAUAAAUAUACUUUAGUUAUAAUUAAAAUAUUAGUAUAAAAUGUAGUAAUUUUUCUGAAUUGCAAGGUUUCAGUUAAACUUUAUGAAAACAAUAGUUGUACAAAGGAACUCGGCAAAUAUCCCUUCUGCCUGUUUAUCAAAAACAUGUCCGUAUGAAAAAGCUGUAUACGGUCUGGCCUGCCCACUGACAUGAGUUUAAGGGCCGCGGUAUUCUGACCGUGCGAAGGUAGCAUAAUAAUUAGUCUCCUAAUUAGAGGCUGGUAUGAAUGGUCUGACAAGAUGGGAUCUGUCUCUGUACAAUGUAUAUAAUUUAAUAUUUAAGUAAAAAAGCUUAAAUGAGAUGAAGGGACGAUAAGACCCUAUAAAGCUUUAUGAUGUAUAUUCGCUAAUGUUGAUUUUCGUAAUAUUAAAGCGUUAGAGAAUCAUAUCAUUUUACUGGGGCGGUAAAAGUAUAAAAGAAUAACUGCUUUUGUUGAAAUUAAACAAUGAUAGUUGGAGAAUAAAUUGAUCCAUUAAUAAUGAUCAUAAGAACAAGUUACUUUAGGGAUAACAGCGUAAUUUUUUUUGAGAGUUCAAAUCGAAAAAAAAGUUUGCGACCUCGAUGUUGAAUUAAGGGUACCUUAAGGUGCAGCAGUUUUAAAGGUAGAUCUGUUCGAUCUUUAAUUCCUUACAUGAUUUGAGUUCAGACCGGCGUGAGCCAGGUUGGUUUCUAUCUUUCACAGUAAUAGAUAUUUACUUUAGUACGAAAGGAUUUCGUAAAUCAAAUACUUUGUAUAUUGUGACUAAUAUUAAC
RNAcentral lists this ribosomal RNA (1347 nucleotides) under Lysiosquillina maculata. RNAcentral's name for it is "large subunit ribosomal RNA". The stretch from base 620 to 1347 matches the Rfam family "Archaeal large subunit ribosomal RNA", at positions 1423 to 2810 of the family's 2987-position model. The record is from RNAcentral. Lineage: Eukaryota; Metazoa; Arthropoda; Malacostraca; Stomatopoda; Lysiosquillidae.